CAGAAGCAGCCAACAGCAGCAGCAGCAGUCGUCGUCGCAGUGCAUAUGUGUGUGUGUGUGUUCUGUGAGAGCGUCAGAGAGUGUAAUUUAAAGUUAAAGAGCCAAAAGCAAAAGAGAGCGCACUGUUGCUGCUGCUGCUUGUGCUUUUGUAAACGCAGGCCACAAGAAAAAAACGAAGCGUAGCAUCCGCGUGCUGCGCUGUUGGCUACUGAAGAACUGAAGCACUGGCCGGCUAGUCAGCCGAACCAGCCAUGCCAGCCGAACCACAGCAACAGCAGCCGAAACCGAAGUCGAACGAUAUGUAAUACGGUUCGUGAGCGACUGCGACGGCGACGGCGACGUCGAGACAGCUUCGUGUGCUGCCAAAGAGCGCCAUGAUGAUUACUUAAGCAGUGACUAACUAAACCAGCGCUAACAGUGUGCGGAGCGCACGAGCCAAACGAAGCAGCGAAGUAAAGCCAGAGGCUAAGCCGCCGUCGUCGUCGUCACAUAACAACUUAUUGCAUUGUAUAUUUAGCUGAUUCGGCUGCUGUGUCUGUUAGAUAGCGCACUGUUAACAGUUGCUCUGUUGCUUUGCCCUAACCUUAUGUUAUGACCAUAUGAAGCGCUCAUGCAUUUGAUUAGCUACAUCGAUUUUAAUGUCUCAUUUAAUUAGCUGGAAUUGUCAGAGCUAAUGGCCUGGCAGUUAUAAUUAGUUGCACUUUGUGACAACUUUAUCACUAGGUUUGACGGCCGCAAGCGAAUUUGCUCAUUAAAGCCAGAUGGGAGACGCGAGAGCGGCAACUAUUGCAGCGGAGGCAGCAGCACAACAAAAAGCCAGCCGAAGCCAGUGACAGGCAACAAUGGCAGAUGAAGUACAGUAAGCGCUUAUUAAAUGCGCUGAAUGCAAAUAAAACUUUUAAGCUUAAUAGAAAAUGGCGACUGAGGACUAUGGACGAGCAUCUGGGAGCAUCGAGAAACAAUGGCCGGAAAUUCGCGCUGCGGAAGCCAACAACAGCAACAACAACAGCAACAACGCCACUUGGGAGCUCGUCAGGCAGCCACAAAAAGCAGCUGUGUCCCGUCCUUGCCCCACUCAAAGGAAUUCGCCUAGCGCGGCACAAAACAAAGCGAGCGUAUAAUGUUGCGCCAUAGACCAGAAUCGGGGGAGUGAGGGUGCAAUAGUGAAAGGGCUGAUUGGGUUGCCCUCCCUUUAACUGACUGCAAGUUUUACCCCAAAAAAGUUAUGAAACAUUCGAGCAGAUUUUCAUAUUAUUUUCUUUUUUUUUUGGCUAAUAUAAAAGUCGAGUGCAUAAAUCAAAAGCUCUGCAUGUCCAUCUACUUCACAAACACUUGCCGUCCCUUUCAUGCAGUGUCACUUGGCAUAUUGAUUAAUGAGCCAUGAGCAACUGCACAUAGCUUGGCACUUAGCACGUGCUGGCCGGGUCCAAAGUCAGGUACAAGGACAACGGCAACAGCAAGAGCAACAGCGGCUACAAAUGUUAUUUAUGGGCGCCUCAGAAUGCAAUUUGUUGUGGUCAACAAAUCGCCAUACAAAUCGCGAACGAGAGAUCAUUAGAGAAUCAGAGACAGCCAGAGGGGGAGCAAGAGGCAGAGAGUGAGGGAAGAGAUGGGCGAGUGUUUUGCCCAAAAAAGAAGGACGCACCCAAAAGGUAAACAGACGAACUGAUGGACAGACGAGCAAGUGGACAGACGAACGCAGAGACAGCCGCAGGACAACAGCGACAACAACAGCAACAACAACAACAGGUAGUUGUUGCUAGCUUUUAUUGAAGCAAACGAACAUUUGAUACCCUUGCUAAGGGUUGGGAAUUCAUUAAUUGUAGCAUAAUAAGCUCUAGAUAAAUUCCUUUGAGAACUAGUUAAAUAAAACGCAUGUUUUUA
Long non-coding RNA from Drosophila hydei, 1884 nucleotides. RefSeq lists it as uncharacterized. Lineage: Eukaryota; Metazoa; Arthropoda; Insecta; Diptera; Drosophilidae. The transcript has 3 exons. The record is from RefSeq and is a predicted model, not a curated record.